RNAcentral lists this ribosomal RNA (499 nucleotides) under uncultured bacterium. RNAcentral describes it as "partial 16S ribosomal RNA". It matches the Rfam family "Bacterial small subunit ribosomal RNA", at positions 28 to 507 of the family's 1533-position model. The record is from RNAcentral.
GACGAACGCUGGCGGCGUGCCUAAUACAUGCAAGUCGAGCGGACCAACCCGGCGCUUGCUCGUGUUUGGUUAGCGGCGGACGGGUGAGUAACACGUGGAUACCCUGCCUGACAGACGGGGAUAUCUACGGGAAACCGGCGCUUAUACCGUAUAACACCCAACACCGCGUGGUCUUUGGUUGAAAUUCGGCUUCUGCUGCCGGUUACGCAUGGUCCCGCGGCGGAUUAGGGAGAUGGUGAGGUAACGGCUCACCAAGGCGGCGGUGCGUAGCCGGCAGGCGGGGGUGAGUAGCCAGACUGGGACGGAGACAGGGCCCAGACGGCCACGGGAGGCAGCAGGAGGGAAUCUUGCGGAAGGGGCGGAAGACUGACGGAGCGAGGCGGAGGGAGGGAGGAGGGUCUUCGGAUCGGAAAGCUCGGUUGUUAGGGAAGAAGAAGCGUCGGCCGAAGAGGGAGGGGCGGUGACGGUACCUAACGAGAAAGCCCCGGCUAACUACGUG